GUGUCAGCAGCCGCGGUAAUACGAAGGGUGCGAGCGUUAUUCGGAAUCACUGGGCGUAAAGGGUGCGUAGACGGUGCGUUAAGUUUGUUGUUAAAGACUCUAGCCUAACUGGAGGUUUGCAAUGAAAACUGGCGUGCUAGAGGGUGAGAGAGAGAAGUGGAAUUCCCGGAGUAGCGGUAAAAUGCGUGGAUCUCGGGAGGAACACCAAUGGCGAAGGCAGCUUCUUGGCUCAUUCCUGACGUUGAGGCACGAAAGCGUGGGGAGCAAACAGGAUUAGAAACCCCUGUAGUCC
Molecule: ribosomal RNA, 292 nt
Filed under: uncultured bacterium
Lineage: Bacteria
Description: partial 16S ribosomal RNA
Rfam family: Bacterial small subunit ribosomal RNA
Source: RNAcentral